This 485-nucleotide ribosomal RNA is filed under the name uncultured bacterium. Its description in RNAcentral is "partial 16S ribosomal RNA". It matches the Rfam family "Bacterial small subunit ribosomal RNA", at positions 30 to 506 of the family's 1533-position model. The record is from RNAcentral.
AUUGAACGCUGGCGGCAUGCCUUACACAUGCAAGUCGAACGGCAGCACGGGUGCUUGCACCUGGUGGCGAGUGGCGAACGGGUGAGUAAUACAUCGGAACAUGUCCUGUAGUGGGGGAUAGCCCGGCGAAAGCCGGAUUAAUGCCGCAUACGAUCUACGGAUGAAAGCGGGGGACCUUCGGGCCUCGCGCUAUAGGGUUGGCCGAUGGCUGAUUAGCUAGUUGGUGGGGUAAAGGCCUACCAAGGCGACGAUCAGUAGCUGGUCUGAGAGGACGACCAGCCACACUGGGACUGAGACACGGCCCAGACUCCUACGGGAGGCAGCAGUGGGGAAUUUUGGACAGUGGGCGAAAGCCUGAUCCAGCAAUGCCGCGUGUGUGAAGAAGGCCUUCGGGUUGUAAAGCACUUUUGUCCGGAAAGAAAUCCUUGGCCCUAAUACGGUCGGGGGAUGACGGUACCGGAAGAAUAAGCACCGGCUAACUACGU